GGGGGCGGGGGUGGCUAUACAUGCAAGUCGAGCGGACAGAAGGGAGCUUGCUCCCGGAUGUUAGCGGCGGACGGGUGAGUAACACGUGGGUAACCUGCCUGUAAGACUGGGAUAACUCCGGGAAACCGGAGCUAAUACCGGAUAGUUCCUUGAACCGCAUGGUUCAAGGAUGAAAGACGGUUUCGGCUGUCACUUACAGAUGGACCCGCGGCGCAUUAGCUAGUUGGUGAGGUAACGGCUCACCAAGGCGACGAUGCGUAGCCGACCUGAGAGGGUGAUCGGCCACACUGGGACUGAGACACGGCCCAGACUCCUACGGGAGGCAGCAGUAGGGAAUCUUCCGCAAUGGACGAAAGUCUGACGGAGCAACGCCGCGUGAGUGAUGAAGGUUUUCGGAUCGUAAAGCUCUGUUGUUAGGGAAGAACAAGUGCAAGAGUAACUGCUUGCACCUUGACGGUACCUAACCAGAAAGCCACGGCUAACUACGUGCCAGCAGCCGCGGUAAUACGUAGGUGGCAAGCGUUGUCCGGAAUUAUUGGGCGUAAAGGGCUCGCAGGCGGUUUCUUAAGUCUGAUGUGAAAGCCCCCGGCUCAACCGGGGAGGGUCAUUGGAAACUGGGAAACUUGAGUGCAGAAGAGGAGAGUGGAAUUCCACGUGUAGCGGUGAAAUGCGUAGAGAUGUGGAGGAACACCAGUGGCGAAGGCGACUCUCUGGUCUGUAACUGACGCUGAGGAGCGAAAGCGUGGGGAGCGAACAGGAUUAGAUACCCUGGUAGUCCACGCCGUAAACGAUGAGUGCUAAGUGUUAGGGGGUUUCCGCCCCUUAGUGCUGCAGCUAACGCAUUAAGCACUCCGCCUGGGGAGUACGGUCGCCAGACUGAAACUCAAAGGAAUUGACGGGGGCCCGCACAAGCCGGUGAGCAUGUGGUUUAAUUCCGAAGCCACGCGAGACCCUUACAAGUCGUGACAUCCUCUGACGACCCUAGAGAUAGGGCUUUCCCUCCGGGGACGGAUGACCAGGUGUGCAUGCUUGUCCGUCAGCUCCGUGUCCUGGAGAAUGAUGGUGUAGUCCCCCGCCA
RNAcentral lists this ribosomal RNA (1078 nucleotides) under Bacillus altitudinis. RNAcentral's name for it is "bacterial SSU rRNA". It matches the Rfam family "Bacterial small subunit ribosomal RNA", at positions 38 to 1092 of the family's 1533-position model. The record is from RNAcentral. Lineage: Bacteria; Bacillati; Bacillota; Bacilli; Caryophanales; Bacillaceae.